RNAcentral lists this unclassified non-coding RNA (289 nucleotides) under Hevea brasiliensis (rubber tree). The record is from RNAcentral. Lineage: Eukaryota; Viridiplantae; Streptophyta; Magnoliopsida; Malpighiales; Euphorbiaceae.
AAAAAAUAUUAUUGGCAAAACAUGAAAGAAAGUUUGAAUUGACCAAGCAUUUAUGUGUGGCUCAUACACAAGAUGCUCAUCUAUGGUAAACCAGAAAAAGGCAAAAGGUGAAAACAGUUGCAAGCAAAGAAACAGGAACCUCCAAAUUAGAGCAGUAGCUGAACAAGCUAACACUAAGAUGAAAUGGAAGAGAGACAUUAGUUGCAGUGAGCCUUUCAAAGGCCAGCAGCCUAAAAAUCAAGAAAUUAAAUGCCCACAUAUGAUCAUCUACUAAGGCAAAGCCAGAAAA